Molecule: ribosomal RNA, 420 nt
Filed under: uncultured bacterium
Lineage: Bacteria
Description: bacterial SSU rRNA
Rfam family: Bacterial small subunit ribosomal RNA
Source: RNAcentral
GAGGAAUAUUGGUCAAUGGACGCAAGUCUGAACCAGCCAUGCCGCGUGCAGGAUGACGGCCCUAUGGGUUGUAAACUGCUUUUAUUCGGGAAGAAACCUUUGCUCGUGAGCGAAGCUGACGGUACUGAAUGAAUAAGCAUCGGCUAACUCCGUGCCAGCAGCCGCGGUAAUACGGAGGAUGCAAGCGUUAUCCGGAUUUAUUGGGUUUAAAGGGUGCGUAGGCGGAAAAAUAAGUCAGUGGUGAAAGCCUGCAGCUCAACUGUAGAAUUGCCAUUGAUACUGUUUUUCUUGAGUACAUUUGAAGUGGGCGGAAUGUGUUGUGUAGCGGUGAAAUGCAUAGAUAUGACACAGAACACCAAUUGCGAAAGCAGCUCACUAAGUUGUCACUGACGCUGAGGCACGAAAGCGUGGGUAGCAAAC